GGCGCAGCAGGCGCGAAACCUCCGCAAUGCGGGAAACCGCGACGGGGUCAGCCGGAGUGCUCGCGCAUCGCGCGGGCUGUCGGGGUGCCUAAAAAGCACCCCACAGCAAGGGCCGGGCAAGGCCGGUGGCAGCCGCCGCGGUAAUACCGGCGGCCCGAGUGGCGGCCACUUUUAUUGGGCCUAAAGCGUCCGUAGCCGGGCUGGUAAGUCCUCCGGGAAAUCUGGUCGCUUAACGAUCAGACUUCCGGAGGAUACUGCCAGCCUAGGGACCGGGAGAGGCCGGGGGUAUUCCCGGAGUAGGGGUGAAAUCCUGUAAUCCCGGGAGGACCACCUGUGGCGAAGGCGCCCGGCUGGAACGGGUCCGACGGUGAGGGACGAAGGCCAGGGGAGCGAACCGGAUUAGAUACCCGGGUAGUCCUGGCUGUAAACGAUGCGGACUAGGUGUCACCGAAGCUACGAGCUUCGGUGGUGCCGGAGGGAAGCCGUUAAGUCCGCCGCCUGGGGAGUACGGCCGCAAGGCUGAAACUUAAAGGAAUUGGCGGGGGAGCACUACAACGGGUGGAGCCUGCGGUU
Molecule: ribosomal RNA, 573 nt
Filed under: uncultured archaeon
Lineage: Archaea
Description: bacterial SSU rRNA
Rfam family: Archaeal small subunit ribosomal RNA
Source: RNAcentral